UCUCUGGUAGUAUAUCGGUUAGUACACGCGCCUGUCAUAUGGGUCUAUAAAUGGUUCGAAUUCCGCGCGAAAGCUGGGUUCGACUCCCAGCCAGAGAG
Non-coding RNA from Armillaria nabsnona, 98 nucleotides. NCBI's taxonomy places the organism in Eukaryota, Fungi, Basidiomycota, Agaricomycetes, Agaricales, Physalacriaceae. The record is from the annotation of a GenBank genome assembly.